GUGUCAGCCGCCGCGGUAAAACCAGCACCUCAAGUGGUCAGGAUGAUUAUUGGGCCUAAAGCAUCCGUAGCCGGCUCAGUAAGUUUUCGGUUAAAUCUGUACGCUCAACGUACAGGCUGCCGGGAAUACUGCAGAGCUAGGGAGUGGGAGAGGUAGACGGUACUCGGGAGGAAGUGGUAAAAUGCUUNGAUCUUUCGAUGACCACCUGUGGCGAAGGCGGUCUACCAGAACACGUCCGACGGUGAGGGAUGAAAGCUGGGGGAGCAAACCGGAUUAGAUACCCGGGUAGUCCCAGCUGUAAACUAUGCAAACUCAGUGAUGCAUUGGCUUGUGGCCAAUGCAGUGUUGCAGGGAAGCCGUUAAGUUUGCCGCCUGGGAAGUACGUACGCAAGUAUGAAACUUAAAGGAAUUGGCGGGGGAGCACCACAAGGGGUGAAGCCUGCGGUUCAAUUGGAGUCAACGCCAGAAAUCUUACCCGGAGAGACAGCAGAAUGAAGGUCAAGCUGAAGACUUUACCAGACAAGCUGAGAGGUGGUGCAUGGCCGUCGCCAGCUCGUGCCGUGAGAUGUCCUGUUAAGUCAGGUAACGAGCGAGAUCCCUGCCUCUAGUUGCCACCAUUACUCUCAGGAGUAGUGGGGCGAAUUAGCGGGACCGCCGCAGUUAAUGCGGAGGAAGGAAGGGGCCACGGCAGGUCAGUAUGCCCCGAAACUCUGGGGCCACACGCGGGCUGCAAUGGUAAUGACAAUGUGUUCCGAAUCCGAAAGGAAGAGGUAAUCCUCAAACAUUACCACAGUUAUGACUGAGGGCUGCAACUCGCCCUCACGAAUAUGGAAUCCCUAGUAACUGCGUGUCAUUAUCGCGCGGUGANUACGUCCNUGCUCCUUGCACACACCGCCCGUC
This 900-nucleotide ribosomal RNA is filed under the name uncultured archaeon. Its description in RNAcentral is "bacterial SSU rRNA". It matches the Rfam family "Archaeal small subunit ribosomal RNA", at positions 455 to 1354 of the family's 1478-position model. The record is from RNAcentral.